Molecule: long non-coding RNA, 505 nt
Organism: Pocillopora damicornis (cauliflower coral)
Lineage: Eukaryota; Metazoa; Cnidaria; Anthozoa; Scleractinia; Pocilloporidae
Source: RefSeq, a predicted model, not a curated record
CAAAAUAUGUCUCCGGUUGAUUAAGCGCGCAUCUACUUGGUCUCCUGGCUUAAAGGGAAACGGAAUGAAAUUUGAUCCAACGUUGGCAAAGAGGUUACCAAGAGGAUGAAUUUUUGGUUGACGCUUCUAACUCUGGCAAACGCACAUGCUACAGAUUACCCGUGGCCUGUAACAUUCGAAACAGCCAUCUUAUUAACCGCUGAUUUAAGGUGCUACGCUGAGAUGUCGAAUGAUAGGAAAUGAACCAGAACAAGCUUAUAGCUUACAGCUGCAUGGCAUGUGAAGAUCGAAACUCACAAGAAUUGUAUCGUUGCUUUCGGUAACUGAGUAGAGCCAUGUAUGCUGUUGUCCUCUUUAAAGCCGCAAUACCCAUGUCAGUGUCACAUGCUCAUUUACCACUGCAGCAUUUUGUCAGGCACAGAGGCGCGUUUAAUGAAUUCACCAUAGGUUAUAUGACACAUCAUUUAACCAACUUGAAUAAAUCUUGACUCGGUUGUUUCUCACA